CGUAGUAAUUCUAGAGCUAAUACGUGCGGAAAUCCCGACUUCCUGGAAGGGACGUAUUUAUUAGAUAAAAGGCCGACCGGACUUGUCCGACUCGCGGUGAAUCAUGAUAACUCCACGAAUCGCAUGGCCCAGCGCCGGCGAUGUUUCAUUCAAAUUUCUGCCCUAUCAACUUUCGACGGUAAGGUAUUGGCUUACCGUGGUGGUAACGGGUGACGGAGGAUUAGGGUUCGAUCCCGGAGAGGGAGCCUGAGAAACGGCUACCACAUCCAAGGAAGGCAGCAGGCGCGCAAAUUACCCAAUCCUGACACAAGGAGGUAGUGACAAUAAAUAACAAUACCGGGGUUUUUCAACUCUGGUAAUUGGAAUGAGUACAAUCUAAACCCCUUAACGAGGAUCAAUUGGAGGGCAAGUCUGGUGCCAGCAGCCGCGGUAAUUCCAGCUCCAAUAGCGUAUAUUUAAGUUGUUGCAGUUAAAAAGCUCGUAGUUGGAUUUCGGGCGGGCCCGGCCGGUCCGCCUCACGGUGUGCACUGACCGGGCCCGUCCUGCUGCCGGGGACGGGCUCCUGGGCUUCGCUGUCCGGGACUCGGAGUCGGCGAGGUUACUUUGAGUAAAUUGGAGUGUUCAAAGCAGGCAUCCGCCUUGAAUACGUUAGCAUGGAAUAACACGAUAGGACUCUGGCCUAUCUUGUUGGUCUGUGGGACCGGAGUAAUGA
This 712-nucleotide ribosomal RNA is filed under the name uncultured Coccomyxa. RNAcentral's name for it is "SSU rRNA". It matches the Rfam family "Eukaryotic small subunit ribosomal RNA", at positions 148 to 868 of the family's 1831-position model. The record is from RNAcentral. Lineage: Eukaryota; Viridiplantae; Chlorophyta; Trebouxiophyceae.